UCCGUGGCGCAAUCGGCUAGCGCGUUUGGCCGUUGCCCGAAAGUUUGGUGGUUCGAGCCCACCCUCGGCGAAA
RNAcentral lists this transfer RNA (73 nucleotides) under Trichonephila inaurata madagascariensis. Its description in RNAcentral is "tRNA-Asn". The record is from RNAcentral. Lineage: Eukaryota; Metazoa; Arthropoda; Arachnida; Araneae; Nephilidae.